This 379-nucleotide unclassified non-coding RNA is filed under the name uncultured Acidobacteriota bacterium. Its description in RNAcentral is "uncultured Acidobacteria bacterium contains 16S-23S intergenic spacer region". Lineage: Bacteria; Pseudomonadati; Acidobacteriota. The record is from RNAcentral.
UCACAGUUUACACUGGCAGUCUUGUUAGAGUUCCCGACAUGACUCGCUGGCAACUAACAACAGGGGUUGCGCUCGUUAUAGGACUUAACCUGACACCUCACGGCACGAGCUGACGACAGCCAUGCAGCACCUCGACUCCACUCCCUUGCGGGAUAGCGAUGUUUCCACCGCCGUUAGGAAGCCGUUCGAGCCCAGGUAAGGUUCUUCGCGUUGCGUCGAAUUGAACCACAUGCUCCACCGCUUGUGCGGGCCCCCGUCAAUUCCUUUGAGUUUCAGCCUUGCGACUGUACUCCCCAGGCGGCAUAUUUAACGCGUUAGCUCCGGCACAGAUCAACUGAAUGACCUACACCAAAUAUGCAACGUUUACGGCGUGGACUAC